GACGAACGCUGGCGGCGUGCUUCAUACAUGCAAGUCGAACGAGAAAGUUUCCUUCGGGAAGCGAGUAAAGUGGCGAACGGGUGCGUAACACGUGGGCAAUCUGCCCUGAAGUCUGGGAUAACAUUCCUAACGGAGUGCUAAUACCGGAUGUGCUCCUGGAGGGGCAUCCCUCCGUGAGUAAAGAUGGCGCGUAAGCGCUGUCGCUUCUGGAUGAGCCCGCGGCCUAUUAGCUUGUUGGCGGGGUAACGGCCCACCAAGGCAACGAUGGGUAGCCGGCCUGAGAGGGUGACCGGCCACAUUGGGACUGAGAUACGGCCCAGACUCCUACGGGAGGCAGCAGUAGGGAAUAUUGCGCAAUGGGCGAAAGCCUGACGCAGCAACGCCGCGUGAGUGAUGAAGGCCUUCGGUUGUAAAACUCUGUCAGAUGGGAAGAACCUUGACCGAUUUAUAAGAUACGGACAACUGACGGUACCAUCAGAGGAAGCUCCGGCUAACUCCGUCG
RNAcentral lists this ribosomal RNA (502 nucleotides) under uncultured bacterium. RNAcentral's name for it is "bacterial SSU rRNA". It matches the Rfam family "Bacterial small subunit ribosomal RNA", at positions 28 to 508 of the family's 1533-position model. The record is from RNAcentral.